Ooceraea biroi (clonal raider ant) is the source of this 263-nucleotide long non-coding RNA. RefSeq lists it as uncharacterized. Lineage: Eukaryota; Metazoa; Arthropoda; Insecta; Hymenoptera; Formicidae. The record is from RefSeq and is a predicted model, not a curated record.
CGAAAACCAUUUCAAGCUAUUAGAACGCGAUCAAUUGCAGCAAUGAUUCCAAUUACUACAAUUAGUAAAGCGUAAUCCACGUUUAAUUUCAGGACACGUACCUUUCUUUUGAGACAUAGUGCCGACGUGACGCUGCUUGGCGAGCUAGAGACGUUGCUCAACUGGGGACUCGAGUAUACGCGACGAUGAUUGAGGAAGAGAGAGGGAACCGCUCUUCGGACUGCUCUGAAAUGACUUGACGCUGCGAGUGCCAGCUCGCAAAA